Molecule: non-coding RNA, 468 nt
Organism: Rhineura floridana
Lineage: Eukaryota; Metazoa; Chordata; Lepidosauria; Squamata; Rhineuridae
Source: the annotation of a RefSeq genome assembly
GUGAGUUGCUGGCAACCAUUCAAGUCAUGGGAUUAAAGCUCUGGAUCAUUUGUCUGGUGAUCUUCCCUGCAUGUGUUUUCCCCCAGAUUACCAUUACUGAGUCUGGUGGUGGUAUGAAGAGGCCAGGAGAAACUCUACGGCUGACUUGCACAGUGUCUGGAUUUUCUGUAGCUGGCAACUACAUGGACUGGGUCCAUUGGGCCCCAGGAAAAGGACUGAAGUGGACUGGACGCAUCGCAGUUGGUGGAAACACUUUCAAUAGCAGUGAUCUCCAAAAUCGGAUCAUCAUCACAAGAGACACCUCAAAAAACCUGGUGUUCCUGCAGCUGAGUGGCCUGAAGCCCGAAGAUACCGCUGUGUAUUACUGUGCGAGAAACACACUGAGGGAAAUCCUCUGUCACUGCCUAUACAAAAACUACGCCUCUUGAAAAGUAGCCACACAUGAUUUUUUGUGCAUCGCAGCUGGAA